AUACGUAGGGGGCUAGCGUUAUCCGGAAUUACUGGGCGUAAAGGGUGCGUAGGUGGUUUCUUAAGUCAGAAGUGAAAGGCUACGGCUCAACCGUAGUAAGCUUUUGAAACUAAGAGACUUGAGUGCAGGAGAGGAGAGUAGAAUUCCUAGUGUAGCGGUGAAAUGCGUAGAUAUUAGGAGGAAUACCAGUUGCGAAGGCGGCUCUCUGGACUGUAACUGACACUGAGGCACGAAAGCGUGGGGAGCAAACAGGAUUAGAUACCCUGGUAGUCCACGCCGUAAACGAUGAGUACUAGCUGUCGGGGGUUACCCCCCUCGGUGGCGCAGCUAACGCAUUAAGUACUCCGCCUGGGAAGUACGCUCGCAAGAGUGAAACUCAAAGGAAUCGACGGGG
This 394-nucleotide ribosomal RNA is filed under the name uncultured bacterium. RNAcentral describes it as "partial 16S ribosomal RNA". It matches the Rfam family "Bacterial small subunit ribosomal RNA", at positions 523 to 918 of the family's 1533-position model. The record is from RNAcentral.